This 256-nucleotide unclassified non-coding RNA is filed under the name uncultured Microbacteriaceae bacterium. RNAcentral describes it as "contains 16S-23S intergenic spacer region". The record is from RNAcentral. Lineage: Bacteria; Bacillati; Actinomycetota; Actinomycetes; Micrococcales; Microbacteriaceae.
UCCUCCUUACAGAGGCAGUUUUGUCCGAGUUCUACAUUUCUGCAGCGUUCUCGUAUAUGUCAAGCCUUGGUAAGGUUCUUCGCGUUGCAUCGAAUUAAUCCGCAUGCUCCGCCGCUUGUGCGGGUCCCCGUCAAUUCCUUUGAGUUUUAGCCUUGCGGCCGUACUCCCCAGGCGGGGAACUUAAUGCGUUAGCUGCGUCACGGAGACCGUGGAAUGGUCCCCACAACUAGUUCCCAACGUUUACGGGGUGGACUAC